UUGGUUAAGUUAGAAAGGGCGCACGGUGGAUGCCUUGGCACUAGGAGCCGAAGAAGGACGGGACUAACACCGAUAUGCUUUGGGGAGCUGUACGUAAGCGUUGAUCCAGAGAUUUCCGAAUGGGGGAACCCACUAUCUUUAGUCGGAUAGUAUCCUUACGUGAAUACAUAGCGUGAGGAAGGCAGACCCAGGGAACUGAAACAUCUAAGUACCUGGAGGAAGAGAAAGAAAAAUCGAUUUCCUGAGUAGCGGCGAGCGAAACGGAAAGAGCCCAAACCAAGAAGCUUGCUUCUUGGGGUUGUAGGACACUCUAUACGGAGUUACAAAAGAAAGUUAUAAAUGAAGCGGUCUGGAAAGGCCCGCCAAAGACGGUAACAGCCCGGUAGUUGAAAUGGCUUUCCCUCCAGAGUGGAUCCUGAGUACGGCGGAACACGUGAAAUUCCGUCGGAAUCCGGGAGGACCAUCUCCCAAGGCUAAAUACUCCCUAGUGACCGAUAGUGAACCAGUACCGUGAGGGAAAGGUGAAAAGCACCCCGGAAGGGGAGUGAAACAGUUCCUGAAACCGUGUGCCUACAAGUAGUUAGAGCCCGUUAAUGGGUGAUAGCGUGCCUUUUGUAGAAUGAACCGGCGAGUUACGAUUUGUUGCAAGGUUAAGCGGAAAAAGCGGAGCCGUAGCGAAAGCGAGUCUGAAUAGGGCGCAUAAGUAACAGGUCGUAGACCCGAAACCAGGUGAUCUACCCAUGUCCAGGAUGAAGGUAAGGUAAUACUUACUGGAGGUCCGAACCCACGCACGUUGAAAAGUGCGGGGAUGAGGUGUGGGUAGCGGAGAAAUUCCAAUCGAACUUGGAGAUAGCUGGUUCUCUCCGAAAUAGCUUUAGGGCUAGCCUCGAGGUAAAGAGUCAUGGAGGUAGAGCACUGUUUGGACUAGGGGCCCUUCUCGGGUUACCGAAUUCAGAUAAACUCCGAAUGCCAUGUACUUAUACUCGGGAGUCAGACUGCGAGUGAUAAGAUCCGUAGUCGAAAGGGAAACAGCCCAGACCACCAGUUAAGGUCCCCAAAUAUAUGUUAAGUGGAAAAGGAUGUGGGGUUGCUUAGACAACCAGGAUGUUGGCUUAGAAGCAGCCACCAUUGAAAGAGUGCGUAAUAGCUCACUGGUCGAGUGACCCCGCGCCGAAAAUGUACCGGGGCUAAACAUAUUACCGAAACUGUGGAUGAACCUCUUUAGAGGUUCGUGGUAGGAGAGCGUUCUAAGGGCGGUGAAGUCAGACCGGAAGGACUGGUGGAGCGCUUAGAAGUGAGAAUGCCGGUAUGAGUAGCGAAAGAAGGGUGAGAAUCCCUUCCACCGAAUAUCUAAGGUUUCCUGAGGAAGGCUCGUCCGCUCAGGGUUAGUCGGGACCUAAGCCGAGGCCGAUAGGCGUAGGCGAUGGACAACAGGUAGAGAUUCCUGUACCAGUGCUAAUUGUUUAACCGAUGGGGUGAC
RNAcentral lists this ribosomal RNA (1480 nucleotides) under Listeria monocytogenes. RNAcentral's name for it is "partial 23S ribosomal RNA". It matches the Rfam family "Bacterial large subunit ribosomal RNA", at positions 1 to 1473 of the family's 2925-position model. Lineage: Bacteria; Bacillati; Bacillota; Bacilli; Caryophanales; Listeriaceae. The record is from RNAcentral.